AUUAAUUGUCAUUUCUCUCCGGUAUCCCGCGGCAUAUAUAUUUCACCCUCCGUUUCAUCCCUAUUUUUUCCUUUUGUCAAUCUUCCUCUUUUUUUGUAUCGCCUUAAAAUUUCAUAAGUUCCCCUAACAAAGUCAUGCACAGAGCCUUCCAUCUUGUAUGUGACAGUUUCAGUAGACAGUUGUCACGUUAUUAUUUUGAUAAGCUACUAAUGAAUAACAAAGGCCAGCCAAAAUCACUCGAAGCACGAUGAUUAUGAGAAGAGGGUUGAUUAAUUAAGACAGUGUAAUCCAGGAGUAGGUACGUGGGAUGUGUCUAAGACACAUCAUUUUAUUAAUCAGACAAAUAUCAAGACUCAAUGCUUUUCAAACGACAACAUUGCGCAACUAUUCCCAGGUUCGAUAAAACCGUUACAAACGUAGUUAUCUUCGUUAGUCCAGCCUAUAAUGAAAUAGGGAAUGAACGGAUUGACGUAGAGCGCCACUUGAUAGUGCAUAAAACCAGAUAAAUACAUCCAGUUAGUGAGGUUACGUAGAAAAUCACAUGAAACUGGUAAAGCACGGCAUUUUGGAUGCCUGGUAUAUCCGUGGUUUGUGGCUGCUAGCCUCUACAAACGCGGCGUAUGGCUAGAGGGUUUGUCACUGAGUCAGCGAAUAAAGAACACACAUUGACGAGCCUAUAACAUUUAUGGACAUUGUAUAGAUGUAUUGUGAAUAUCGGGAGAUAAAUUGAGAGUAGCUGAUGGCUGGUGGGAUAGCUGGCUUGAAAUUCUAUAAUAACCGGAGGGCAGGGUACACUCAGUGUACAAACGUAUUUACGUGCGUGUAGUGAGCAAUUACGCUGUGGCAAGAAGGCAAGCUGCUAUGAAAAACUUGGAGUUACGUGUCAGGAUCGUGCGCGAGACACGCAUCAACUAGUUUCCAAUAAACGAUGGCGAUAUAAAUAUUUCCUGGUGCGACUACAUACACUGACACACACUCAUCGACCAUACGGGAGUUUCUCUCGGGUCGUAUGACAGUGAACUACGUGUUUAGCUGCCUGGGUGUUGACAUGCAUUAAAUAUCUCAGUCACUUUGGAGUCUGAACGACAAUAGUCAAGAUUAUAACGAGAUGCAGGCUUGACCUCGUUUUUCCUUCAUGGUUCAUAUACAUAAUCGCCAUAUGUCCUAUAAAUAUUUUAUAUUUUCACUGAGAUCUUGGUGCCAUUCGCGCACGGUCGUACACUCUAUGUACGAAAUGCGUUACCUUUUACAACGAAGUCUCGUUAAAGUCGUACGACUUUCGGCGCCGACCGCCUGCAGAUGUUAUCAUUCUUGUCUCGAAUGUCCGUAUCGAACGUUUAUAUUUUACACGAGAAGCACGUAGUCACGCAAUUACGUAGUAUAAACCAUAAGGAUGUUGGCUGAUAUUUUUAUCAUAGGUAUUUUUGCAUGGUCUCAUCUAGGACUCAAAAUCCUAUGGGUACAACAAUAGCCGAAAAGCUCUCCGAAGUAUUGUCGAAAAUUUUUCUUGGAUUUCAAAUACCCUACUAUCAGCCGUCCACAGUGAAUCCACUUGUACAACAGGACUAUUGUCACGGAGGAAAAGAAACCGCAUGUCUGCUGAGAAAAAACAGGACCUACCUCUUACCUCAUAUCUUUCACUCUUACGUGCUAAAAAUUUUUGCUUUUGGAUAAAGGAAAUUCCUGUAACUCUGUAAGGGAAGCACUAUUUUUUUUGUAUGAUUAAUGUGCUUCUUUCUUCUAUUCCUUAUAUCAGAUUCGUCAACGCUCCACUGAACUGAAAAUGAUAUGCUUUACCAGUUUCCUAGGACUUUGGAUGCAUGACUGGGAAUUGAUUAAAACAUUUUGCCAAACUUUUCCGCUUGGAAGCCAGCAUUGAUAUUAUCCGAGGAUACAAUCUGGCUUAAAACUAAUUAAUUUAGAGAAUACAGUUGUUGCUCUGUUAUGCUCAGCAGCAGUACUUCCGUACAGUUUUAUCUCAUUAAUACCAGCCAAGAUUCCAUGGACUAACAAUAUGUUGAUAUCUCACUCAAAAUAAUCCUGCAGGAAUUAAAGGGAGUAUAGUUUGGCGUUUGAAGGCGGUAGCGAGGUUUAGAAGUGAAAUCAAAGGGAAUCAAUUGGAGUCAAAGGCAAGCUAAAUCAAAGUCAGAGGGAGACAAAUAAAAACAUUCUGGAUAUGCUCCACUUCACGGCCACGUAACGUGAUUUUGCGAAGUAACGAGUUGUGCUGCAAUAAUUGCAAUUGAACGAUAAUCUUCUGGAGUAUCAUGAGCUGCCAGGUCAUAGGUCACGUUACGAGUUCGUAUUCUCUGAUAAGUGUCUACGUAAUAUUUUUCAAUCCCCAUUUGUGCCAUUAGCGUCACAGAAUUUCAUUGAUAGGGAAAGACACGAUAUCUGAAUAUGAAUUUCUGCUUUUUACGUCACCGAACACAAGUGUAUUUUCCUUUGAGGCGAACGAGGAGUAAACUACGAAAAAUAGUGAAACCCCAUGUCAAAACUGGAUACUGGAUCCAUCCAUGAACCGACGUGGUUGGUCAAGCGCAAUGAAGUUCGCUGGCGUAUAAAAAUUUCGCAACGACUUUGCGGCAGGGAAUCAGCUACAGGAUACGUUAUAAACGUUGGUUAAUCGGCUGAAAAAGAAAUCACAAGAUCCUGGAUAUUUUCAUCUACGCAUCACCGGCUGCCAUUUGUUACAUCGAGAAGAAGAACGAUAGAAAAAACGGAUUGCAUACCAAGCGUGAAAUCCGAAAUCGUAAAGCCAGAUGUACGCUCGUAAAGUGCACUUUAUACCCAAGCAUCGAGUCACGCUCAUUGCAGGAAAUUAUCACGAACGAGAAAGGAUGAAUGUAAUUUCACUUCAAUUCGUUUCGCUGCUUGGAAUCCAAAUCGUCUAGCCAUCUUAGCCAAUCUUCUCUACUCGUGUACUACUUCAGUCUCGUGGUAAAUUUCUAUUUUAUAUACACUGAAGUUGGCUUACUAGAAAGAUCCAAACUACUGGAACGUCUUGCAUUCGCCGUUGCUGCUUUAAGUUUGACCUAGCCAGGAAUUAAUACCGGAAGCAGCUUCCAUGGAAGUCGCUAGAAACUUCAAUGAAUGUUGCGAUUUUAUGCCACCUGCCAUGCAGAAUAGUCCAGUUUGCUUCAUCUCCCUUAUGAAUUUUCAACGGACGAAUUUAUCCAUUUUUAUUUCCAUGAUGUCGCACGAGGAAAGAGAAGCAGUGAAAGUGAAUCCAAUGACGCGGCAGAUAUUCCAAGAGACAUUUUCAAGAAAAAUCUUCUCUGUAUCCUGAUGCUGCGAGACGGCCCACUGACUUCCAUUUUGAUGUGUUUAUCCGUAACGCAGCUGAUGUCGCACAGUCAAGAUUCUCCGCCAUAUAUACUUCCUGGAUAUUUGAAUCCUAUCGAUAGAAUUUGAUGAAAGGAUGCUGAUGAUCGAGAGAAAAUGUUCAGCCUGACAGGCGCCAGUUCGGAAUUAUAGACGGGCGUGGUUCCUCUGGCAUGCUCUAUAUUAGUUUCAUCUGUGAGAGUAGCGUAUCAACUGGAAUACAUAGGCGCGUGCAUGCUGCUCGUAGAGUGAUAGAGAGUGUAGAAGGGGGUGGGGUGGGGUGGGGUGGGGUUAGCACACAACGUGACAUGAUGGAAUAGGACAAGAGGAAACAGCUAAAGUUAAUAUCCGUUAGCCUAGGGUCUCUUAGUUCGACACGUCUAUGGGGAUUAAAUAAGAGAAACCCUUUUCUCACGCGUUAGCCUUGCUUUCUCUUCCAACCCCCCAUCGUAUUCCGUAUCUAUACUUUUACUCUGCUAACGACACUAGUUCGAUAGAGAUAAAAGUAAGUGAUCUCGUGUAACCAACCCGUAGAUUUACGAGAGACACGAAAUAAUGCAAUCAUUGGGGAAGUCAUGAAACUUCCAGAAACUUCUCGAAGCGUGUUUCCUUCGGGGCCCCAGAUGAGGGGUUGGAAAUGGCAAGCUUCCUGAAACACGAGGAUGUAAGGAGAAGAAAGAAAGGAGGAAAGCCUCCUGCUUUACUACUCUUUCUUACUCUAAGUGUCUCUCUCUACUCACCCUCAUCUCAUCUGUAAGGGAAAGCCACCCCCCUCUAACGUACGUAAAUAUUGCUAAAAAAAAAAGAAAAUGGCGAAAUAAACUCUGCAAAAAGCAGUUGCAAAAAAGGUCCAUGUAUUAGUUUGUCUGACGUUUAACGAAAUUAUUGUUAAAAAGUCCUCACGUCAUGUUCUUUUGGCUUUUUUUUGCAAUGUAGUCCAAUCAAAAUUUUCAAACGAUUUCGAUCAACUCUGCGACUGACAGCUCUUUAGCCAGGAAACAAAAUUGUAUCAAAACACGAGCAGUCACUGUGACCAACAGUAUUGUUUGGAAUUACGUGGGUUUGCGAACCUGUCUUUGUCAUUUUAAAAAACAAUAAUUGAAACCACAUCACUAAGGGUACUCUAGCUAGAGCACAAGGGUUGCAAGCUUUAGAGGUAGAUUUAUUUACAUGCGUGUAGUGAAGCCACAAAGAAAGUUCAUUAAUUCCUAUGUGAUGUGAGUGCUGUACAAGGUUGUACUAUGAGGUUGUAGGAUCCUGAUUUUUUGAACCUUAUAAAUUCUAAUGGUCCAGAUACAGGAGAUCGUUUAGUGCUGAAAAAUGAAUGGUCACUUUCUUGCUCCGUUUAUUUUAUAUUUUUCAUUCUGCAAUCGAAAGUUGGAUUUUUGUCAGGGAUUUUUAUAAACUAAGAUAACCAGUAGUGAGAAAGUCUUAGAGUCCUCAAAACUAUCUAAGCAAUGCUGUGGUUUCUUCCUGAAGAACCUUUCCCCUAUAAAUUAUACUUUUAUAAUGAAACUCUUUAUUAUACUUUACAUUCUAGUAGAAAUGUUUACGAAUGGCAAAGCGGCAUGAAAUGGUAACGCGAUGUGAAAUGGUCUCGCAUGCAAUUAUUUAUGUCACCAGAGAACCCCGAGAAAUUGUUGAAAAUAACAAAAAUGUAUGAGAGAAAGAAAAAAAGGCAAAUGCACUCGUGUGAGACGGAACGUACGAAUUCACCUAGAAGCCAUCUAGUGUUUUUCCAUAAAAGUUUAGUUCUCGUGGGAAAAGUACGAAUUGUUGGAAAUACACGAGUAACAAAUGAUUUUUUGCUACGUUUAACAAUGCAAGCUUAAUGGGGCACAGAGAUCUACUGAGGAUCAAUAAAUUCUUAAAGAAUCCUUUAUUUUUAGUAAAAAAAAAUAUCUUAAAAAUGACAGACCUUCGGUUAUGAUGAUAUAAACCCAGGAAACUCAUGGUAUUCAUAAAAUCAUAGACAAUUAAAUGAAAGUAGAAGUACCUGAACUCCCUGUAAUGUCACUUGACAUUCAAGCAUGGAGGUACUACCCUUGGUAAUUUUCCACAAUGGGAACCGUAACACAAUUCAAAAGGUGUUUUGCUCAGCUCCAUUCCCCACAUACAUAUAAUGUAGAGGAAAUCUCGGAGGAUAAAUAUAUGUAUAGGGUGAAGCAGCGAGGGAGCGUAAGCGCGAUAGAAAUAGACAUAAAGAAAGAGAGAGAUAGGAAGAAGACUAGAAGAGAUUGAGAGAGAGAGAGAGAGAGAGAAAGAGAAUAGAAUUGAGAGAGCAUCGUAGGUUAUAUCCUUGACAGCCAGCGGUCCAGCUAAUGGGCCGAACCACUUGUUGAAAGCGGAUCCCACCGAAGUUCAUACAACCCCUAGAUCCUGCAGGGAGAGUCCUACCCCCCAACUAAAGGCCCCUUCUCUCGACCUUCAUUCUGGCUCUCCCGUCUCCUAUUCUAUAACCCAGCGGACACAGAGCCCUGAAACUCUCGGCAACCGAUUUUUAACCGGCUAUCGAUCUCCUUCUUUGCAGCAUCCGGUGACAUCUCAACGCUCACUCACCCGAGUCCUCACUGCCAUCUCAGCACCAUCGUCAAUUGUAGCCGGCGGAUGAGCUCAGGAUAUUGUUCUCCUCUACCAUUCUACAACCCCAUCAAAGAGAUCACCACCCCAUCCGAUGCUUCGCCACCCAGGAGGAUUGUUAAAUAGCGAGAGCUCUGAGGUUGCAGCUACGGCAGGGUUCUGUUUCUCGGAUCCUCGAAGACUGCCCGGGCAUUAUCGAAGAUUCAAUUGAGAGCUCUGUAAGGUUUAUCAGAGAGGGUCGAGGCCGUAAUUAAGAUCGUUCGGCGUUCGGACGUAGUGGCAGAAUGAAUCAAGGGAUGGAAGCGCGGAGCGGUGGAAAAUUGAAGAAAUUAAUUUCGACGUUUAACGUUCAACGUGGGCUGGCUGCUUGUUAUUUAGUAAAAGCGUUGCACCCGUUGUAGACGUCACGCCGAUGAACCAUUAGCGAGCCAACUACCCUGACUAUUCUGCUGAUUGAUUACCUGGCGGCACUGCCCUUAUUCUCGCCGAUGGAUGUACUCGCCUCUGGUCCAGAAAGGGAAGCUUUAUAUCCAAGACGAAAGCUGAAGACUUACGAGCUUUUAAUUGAGAAUGCUAAAGCUACCCCCCAGGAGGCUGCUUUUCUCAUGAA
Molecule: long non-coding RNA, 6514 nt
Organism: Cephus cinctus (wheat stem sawfly)
Lineage: Eukaryota; Metazoa; Arthropoda; Insecta; Hymenoptera; Cephidae
Exons: 13
Source: RefSeq, a predicted model, not a curated record